ACGGGAGGCAGCAGUGGGGAAUAUUGCACAAUGGGGGAAACCCUGAUGCAGCGACGCCGCGUGAAGGAAGAGGUAUUUCGGUAUGUAAACUUCUAUCAGCAGGGAAGAAGAUGACGGUACCUGACUAAGGAGCACCGGCUAAAUACGUGCCGGCAGCCGCGGUAAUACGUAUGGUGCAAGCGUUAUCCGGAUUUACUGGGUGUAAAGGGAGCGUAGACGGAGAAGCAAGUCUGGAGUGAAAGCCCGGGGCUCAACCCCGGGACUGCUUUGGAAACUGUUUGUCUUGAGUGCCGGAGAGGUAAGCGGAAUUCCUAGUGUAGCGGUGAAAUGCGUAGAUAUUAGGAGGAACACCAGUGGCGAAGGCGGCUUACUGGACGGCAACUGACGUUGAGGCUCGAAAGCGUGGGGAGCAAACAGGAUUAGUACCUGGUA
Molecule: ribosomal RNA, 432 nt
Filed under: uncultured bacterium
Lineage: Bacteria
Description: bacterial SSU rRNA
Rfam family: Bacterial small subunit ribosomal RNA
Source: RNAcentral